Molecule: ribosomal RNA, 486 nt
Filed under: uncultured soil bacterium
Lineage: Bacteria
Description: bacterial SSU rRNA
Rfam family: Bacterial small subunit ribosomal RNA
Source: RNAcentral
AGAGUGAACGCUGGCGGCAGGCCUAACACAUGCAAGUCGAACGGCAGCACAGAGGAGCUUGCUCCUUGGGUGGCGAGUGGCGGACGGGUGAGGAAUACAUCGGAAUCUGCCUUAUCGUGGGGGAUAACGUAGGGAAGCUUACGCUAAUACCGCAUACGACCUACGGGUGAAAGCGGAGGACCUUCGGGCUUCGCGCGAUAAGAUGAGCCGAUGUCGGAUUAGCUAGUUGGUGGGUAAAGGCCCACCAAGGCUACGAUCCGUAGCUGGUCUGAGAGGAUGAUCAGCCACACUGGAACUGAGACACGGUCCAGACUCCUACGGGAGGCAGCAGUGGGGAAUAUUGGACAAUGGGCGCAAGCCUGAUCCAGCCAUGCCGCGUGUGUGAAGAAGGCCUUCGGUUGUAAAGCACUUUGUCGGAAGAAAAGCACUGGAUUAAUACCCUGGUGUUAUGACGGUACCGGAAGAAGUAAGCACCGGCUAACUCGU